GCUUUAACCAGGGUGGCCGUAAUGGGUCUCUAUUGGUUGGAAGAGGGGUACGUGUGACUUAUAUAUCUGACCGGGACUGGGGGAUAACGUUCCCUAAGGAACGCUAAUACUACUUACGUCCUACCCCAGAAGGGGAAAGGGCUUCAUCCCUUGCCCUCUCACAUGAGCCUCGGUCGAUUCCGCUAUUUGGUGAGGGAGGGGUUAACCCUGGCCACGAUAACGAUCUGGUCUGAGAGGAUGAUCACUACCACUGGAACUGAGACUCAGUCCAGACCCCUACUCCUGGCAGCGGUGGGGAAUAUUAAUUUUGGACCGAAAGCCAAACCCUGCCCCGCCCCGUGUGUGUGGAAGGGCGUCGCCUUCUGAAUGACUAUAACUUGGGAGGAAGGGAAAAGGUAUAAUAUCCUGCAAUAUGUGUUACAAUAUAUUAAAAAUUG
This 437-nucleotide ribosomal RNA is filed under the name Pseudomonas sp. HPC 1211. Its description in RNAcentral is "bacterial SSU rRNA". It matches the Rfam family "Bacterial small subunit ribosomal RNA", at positions 60 to 495 of the family's 1533-position model. Lineage: Bacteria; Pseudomonadati; Pseudomonadota; Gammaproteobacteria; Pseudomonadales; Pseudomonadaceae. The record is from RNAcentral.